RNAcentral lists this small RNA (52 nucleotides) under Geitlerinema sp. PCC 7407. RNAcentral's name for it is "Nitrogen stress-induced RNA 1". It matches the Rfam family "Nitrogen stress-induced RNA 1". Lineage: Bacteria; Bacillati; Cyanobacteriota; Cyanophyceae; Geitlerinematales; Geitlerinemataceae. The record is from Rfam by way of RNAcentral.
UGGUAGAUGCACCCUGAAUCCACCCCGGAGGGAGACCUUCGGGGCUUUUUUU